RNAcentral lists this ribosomal RNA (270 nucleotides) under uncultured bacterium. RNAcentral describes it as "partial 16S ribosomal RNA". It matches the Rfam family "Bacterial small subunit ribosomal RNA", at positions 30 to 298 of the family's 1533-position model. The record is from RNAcentral.
AUUGAACGCUGGCGGCGUGCCUAACACAUGCAAGUCGAGCGGUAACAGGUGUAGCAAUACAUGCUGACGAGCGGCGAACGGGUGAGUAAUGCUUCGGAAUCUGCCCAAUGGUGGGGAAUAACCAGCCGAAAGGUUGGCUAAUACCGCAUAAGUCCUACGGGGGAAAGCAGGGGAUCGCAAGACCUUGCGCCGAUGGAUGAGCCGAAGUCGGAUUAGCUAGUUGGUAGGGUAACGGCCUACCAAGGCGACGAUCCGUAGCUGGUCUGAGAG